This 494-nucleotide ribosomal RNA is filed under the name uncultured bacterium. Its description in RNAcentral is "partial 16S ribosomal RNA". It matches the Rfam family "Bacterial small subunit ribosomal RNA", at positions 28 to 507 of the family's 1533-position model. The record is from RNAcentral.
GACGAACGCUGGCGGCGUGCUUAAUACAUGCAAGUCGAACGGAAAGGCCUGCUUUCCCUUGUGGAUUGCGGGUACUCGAGUGGCGAACGGGUGAGUAACACGUGAGUGAUCUGCACCCAACUUGGGUAUAAGCCUGGGAAACUGGGUCUAAUUCUCGAUAGGACUGCAGGGUGGUGUCUGUGGAGGAAAACGUUCUUCUAGUGGUUGGGGAUGAGCCCGCGGCCUAUCUGGUUGGUGGUGGGGUAAUUGACGACCAAGACGGCGACGGGUAGUCGGAGUGAGAGCGUGGACGGCCGCAUUGGGACUGGGAUACGGCCCCUACUCCUACGGGAGGCAGCAGUGGUGCAUCAUGCACAGUGAGCGGAAGGCUGAUGCAGCGAGGGCGCGUGGGAGAUGACGGCCUUCGGGUUGUAUGCUCCUUUCGAACGCGAGGAAGCCACCUGGUUGGGAGGGUGUUGACGGUAGUGGUAGAGGAAGCACCGGCUAACUACGUG